GGUUUGGCAAGUCAUAUUGUAUAGCUUUAUAAUGCAGUGGUUCUGCGCACUUAUGUUUGCAUGCUAUAGUGGGGUGAUUCUGGCAGCGCUGCAUGCGAACGUGUUUGGGUGUGUGUGUACCACUGUGCAGAUUCCUGCUUGGAGAGUGUGCUCUGGAACAUGAGUGUAAUAACUCCUAACCAGGGGAGCUGCGGGGGGGGGGGGAUAUUUUCAUGGUCACGCCAUAGACUAUGAGUGUAUAUGUGGGAAUGCUGCCGUGCCCUGUCGGUUUGAGGUGGGUUGUGUAGGGCCCUUUGUGCCAUUAGUUGCGAACUAUCUACAAAUUCAAACAUGGUGGACAUUCCCUCAUAGACAACAUAUAAGCAAAAUCAAUAAGUAUGCAACAGGGCAGGCAAUAAACUUUUGAUAUUAGUUGGGUUUGCGAGGAUUGUAAUGUGUCCUUGUUCUGCUUCCCCUGGAGGGGCUAAGUGUCCAGCGUCAAACCGGUUCCCAGAGGCUGUUGCCGUUCCGUGGUCUUGGAGCUCCCGGCCCUUGGAACAAAGGGGGUGAUGUGUUCUGGGUCCCAGCUAGCAGUGGUUGGCCUCCCAUGUGGGGUAGCAGCGAUCGGGAUGUCCAGUCCCAGUGCCUUCAAAAAUUCGGGUGCACCUUCCAUUGAGGUGAGUGUGUGGUGAGUUCCGUUCCGGUGCACCAUUACGGAGCCGUUGGGCCCCCAUCUGUAUUCGAUGCCCACUGACCUCAGGCCACCGGUGAGAGAAGAGAAGGUUUUCCUCCAGGUGAGGGUGGCUUUUGUUAGGUCCUGGAAAAAGUACAGUGUAGUUCCUUCAAAAUCCAGUGGUGUUUUCCCUUUAAGGGCCGUCAUGAGCUGUAUUUUGUCUUGUAUUGUUGGACAUCUGAGUAUCACAUCUCGGGCUGUGUUUUUCGGUGCCCUGGCGGAAGAGGGCAAGCGAUAAAUCUCUGCUGUGGCUAGUUUUUUGGCUGCAACUGGAGGCAAGAUUGUGGCUAUGAGGCGCCUGGAGUAGUGUGGCAGUUCGUUUGGUGUGACUUCCGCAGGGAUGCCCCUUAUCUUUAUAUUAGUGCGUCUUUGUUUUUCUUCCAGAGCAGUGAGCUGUGCAGUUAAGGCUUUAUGUUGUGUGUGUACCUGCUGCACAGAUUCUUGUAGGUUGGAUAGAUGUUCCUGCAGGCUUGUGAUGUCUUUUUCGGUUGCCUGCACCCUGCUGGUGAUUGCUUUGAUGUCUUUUUUGAUGGGAGCAAGUUCCGUCGCUAGAAUUGUGUGAAAAUCUGUCAGCAGGGUUUUUAGAUCCUGUCUGGUGAUUGGGGC
This is a non-coding RNA of Pelobates cultripes (western spadefoot toad), 1318 nucleotides long. Lineage: Eukaryota; Metazoa; Chordata; Amphibia; Anura; Pelobatidae. The record is from the annotation of a GenBank genome assembly.